Molecule: ribosomal RNA, 468 nt
Filed under: uncultured bacterium
Lineage: Bacteria
Description: partial 16S ribosomal RNA
Rfam family: Bacterial small subunit ribosomal RNA
Source: RNAcentral
GACGAACGCUGGCGGCGUGCUUAACACAUGCAAGUCGGACGGAAAGGCCCUGCGUUUGUGGGGUGCUCGAGUGGCGAACGGGUGAGUAACACGUGAGUAACCUGCCCUUGACUUUGGGAUAACUUCAGGAAACUGGGGCUAAUACCGGAUAGGAGCUCCUGCUGCAUGGUGGGGGGUGGAAAGUUUCGGCGGUUGGGGAUGGACUCGCGGCUUAUCAGCUUGUUGGUUGGGUAGUGGCUUACCAAGGCUUUGACGGGUAGCCGGCCUGAGAGGGUGACCGGCCACAUUGGGCCUGAGAUACGGCCCAGACUCCUACGGGAGGCAGCAGUGGGGAAUAUUGCACAAUGGGCGGAAGCCUGAUGCAGCAACGCCGCGUGCGGGAUGACGGCCUUCGGGUUGUAAACCGCUUUCGCCUGUGACGAAGCGUGAGUGACGGUAAUGGGUAAAGAAGCACCGGCUAACUACGUG